GCCGCCGCCCGGGCGGGGAGGCUGGAGGAGCCGGCGGCGGCUCCAGUACCCGGGGAGGGGGAGUCCGGUCCCGGCCCGGCUGCCUGAGAGCGGCGCGGGUCACGGGCCGCCUCAGUGCGCAGGUGCGCCAAGAGCAGCAGAAGUGGCCAUGGAAGAGGCAGCAGAAGGGAGAACCUAGAGCCCGCUUGCCAGGAGUCAGUACCAGGAGGAAAUGGGAGAUCUUGGAGGCAGAUGCCAUCCUAGGGAAGAAGUUCCCCCACACACCAUGCCCAUGAGCUAUGCAGCUUAUGGGUAAUCUGCAUCAAUACCAGACAGACUAUUGUGGGAUGUUGGAGUUCUGCUCUCCUGCCCUCCAACCCCAAAGAUGAAUCAUGAAAGAGGAUUCCUCCUAUCAGCUGAGUUUGCAGUUCAGAGCACAUGGCAGGAGAGGGAUAAAAACCUCAAACAAGAGAAACUAAGGAGCUCUAUACUGCUUGCAAUCUGGGGGGUAAGCAAGAGAUAUCCAGCUGUUUAGACUGGCUUAGCCCUAAAGGAUAUAUGGAACUUGUUGGCUAUAGAAGCUUCUAUUACCUUUUGAAACUUAAUAUUGUAACUCAUUUGUGAAUCUAUGUUUACCUGCUUUAACCUUGUAAAUAACUCUCUUGUUUUCUUUUCCUAUUUAAUAAACCGUCAUACAGUUUAUUAUAUGAUUGGCUACAAAUGUUGUCUUUUGUGUGAAAGCUAAGGUGUAACUGACCUGGGAUGAGCGACUGGUCCUUUGGGACUGGGAGUAACCUGAAUAUUGCCAUGAUUCUUCGUGUAAGGGACCAUCUUUCACAAA
This is a long non-coding RNA of Chelonia mydas (Green sea turtle), 820 nucleotides long. RefSeq lists it as uncharacterized. The record is from RefSeq and is a predicted model, not a curated record. The transcript is spliced from 3 exons. Lineage: Eukaryota; Metazoa; Chordata; Testudines; Cheloniidae.